This 212-nucleotide unclassified non-coding RNA is filed under the name uncultured fungus. Its description in RNAcentral is "partial contains 18S rRNA, ITS1, 5.8S rRNA, ITS2 and 28S rRNA". The record is from RNAcentral. Lineage: Eukaryota; Fungi.
AAGGAUCAUUAUCGAGUGAGGGUCCUCUGGGCCCCUUCUCCCAACCCUUGUCUAUUCUACCAUGUUGCUUUGGCGGGCCCGUCUGGAACCGGACCGCCGGGGACUCACGUCCCUGGCCCGCGCCCGUCAAUAGCCCCCACAACUUCUUCUGAUCGUGACGUCUAAGGAAAUGAGAAUAACCAAAACUUUCAACAACGGAUCUCUUGGUUCCG